GUAUACGUAUGUGUGUAUGCAUAUGCGUAUGUGUAUGUGUAUUCCAAUAAACUUGCUUAUAUCUUUGGAAAUAUGUACGUACCAACUGUCAAAGCAUGUAUAUACUGGUGUCCAAGUUGAGCACAACAAUGACACUCCAUUCUAUUCAAUCUCAGUUAUUGAUACAGCGUUUGAUGAUCUAAUUCACCUAUUUUCUCUAUUGCGAUUUUGUCUUAUAUCUCUUGGUUAACAUUAAAAUUUGGAUGGGGGAAAAUGGUUUGUGGUUAGAUGGGUAUUUAUUAACCCAUAGUGCUCAACCACAUAAGUUAGACCUUUUAGUUACUUUAUUUUGCUCUAAUCCUGUCAAUUUUUUGGCUGACAUUUCACGUAAUUAAAGGUUUAUAUUUCCCACUAGGAAGUAUCUGGGAAAAGAAAAGGGGAAGGAAACAAGAGCCGAAAUCAAAACAAAGUGAAAGCUUUUGACUAAAUUUUGCAACUGCUACUUUGCUGCUUUGGAACCCUGAUUCUGGGAGGAACAAUACGCUUCAUUGCCUUCUUUAGUUUAGAUCAAGGUCUUAUUGCAAUGUUGUGAUCUGCUCUUCUUGCUGCCUUUAUCUAGGAAUCCGCAUCUAUUGCAUUUGAAUCAAGGAUUUGGGUUAAUAAAAUGGUGAAAGAGAUUGAUCGAAGCGAAUAACAAAUUCUAGAAGGCGAUUUGGUAAAAAAAUUUAAGGGAACUGAUUAAGGCUCGAAACGAUGAAAAGAAUGAAGGAACGAUAGUGAAAUGUUUCGAUACUGCCCCAGGACCCAGUACAAAGAAAUCAGUGAAAAUAGAAAAAACAAGGUUCGGUUUGCGUGUUUAUGGUAAGGGCCCAAACCGAAACAAAUUGGUGGUGCACACUCUCUACUCACCUUAUAUAUCCCUUUGUCAUUCAUUAUUAUGUUGAAUUUAUUUAGAUAAAUGUUUCUUAUUCAUCCAAUUACGAUUAGUACACUGAUUUCCCGCAGUAUAGCGCGGGCUUAUUUUCUA
Non-coding RNA from Malus domestica (apple), 1006 nucleotides. The record is from RefSeq and is a predicted model, not a curated record. NCBI's taxonomy places the organism in Eukaryota, Viridiplantae, Streptophyta, Magnoliopsida, Rosales, Rosaceae.